Molecule: ribosomal RNA, 252 nt
Filed under: uncultured bacterium
Lineage: Bacteria
Description: partial 16S ribosomal RNA
Rfam family: Bacterial small subunit ribosomal RNA
Source: RNAcentral
UACGGAGGAUGCGAGCGUUAUCCGGAUUUAUUGGGUUUAAAGGGUGUGUAGGCGGUCCGUUAAGUCAGCGGUAAAAUUGCGGGGCUCAACCCCGUCGAGCCGUUGAAACUGGCAGACUUGAGUUGGCGAGAAGUACGCGGAAUGCGCGGUGUAGCGGUGAAAUGCAUAGAUAUCGCGCAGAACUCCGAUUGCGAAGGCAGCGUACCGGCGCCAGACUGACGCUGAGGCACGAAAGCGUGGGGAUCGAACAGG